CGUCAGGAAGAUCCCCUGGAGUAGGAAAUGGCAACCCACUCCAGUACUCUUGCCUGGGAAAUCCCAUGGACAGAGGAGCCUGGAGGCUACAGUCCGUGGGGUCUCAAGAGUCGGACCACGGCUGAGAGACAGCACACCUGAGCAGCGUGGCAUUGCUGGGUGGCAGCAGGACUCACCAGGCUUCCGCGAUAGGAGGCCACUCGUGUGUACCCGCUGUGUUCUAUGCGAAAUCCAGAAGACUUGUCGCUAGAAGCUUGUCCCACUGUUUGGCAGCUGGCACUGUGACACCCCGAGGGCCAAGGGAACAUGGGCCUUCCUGGAGGCCCAGGGUCCACCCCUCCUGGGCCAUGGCUGCAUCUAGCAACAAAACUGCUGCCAUCAGAACACUGUCGCCCAGUCCUGGGUGAGCAGGAGGUAGUCAUGGCUCAAAAAUAAGAAGAGAGAGAAGAAAGAACUGACUGGAAUAGGAGAGGCAUCCUGUCUAGUCCUGCUCUUGGUUUCCUGUGUGUACAUCACCUCUUCCCAGUCAGAACAGGACACACUGUUGCUUUCAUUUGCUUCCCAGAGCUCGGCGCACAGAAGAGCCUGAGAUCUGCAACAAGAGAAGCCACCGCAAUGGGAAGCUCGUGUACCACAAACUAGAGAAAUAGCUCCCUGCUUGCUGCAACAAGAGAAAGCCCCAGCAGCCAUGAAG
Long non-coding RNA from Cervus elaphus (red deer), 694 nucleotides. RefSeq lists it as uncharacterized. NCBI's taxonomy places the organism in Eukaryota, Metazoa, Chordata, Mammalia, Artiodactyla, Cervidae. The transcript has 3 exons. The record is from RefSeq and is a predicted model, not a curated record.